ACAGCAUCACAGCACCACCAUCAGUGCCAUCCCUGCAUCACCACCAACAGUGCAUCACCACCAUCAGUGCCAUCCGUGCAUCACCACCAUCAGUGCAGCACCACCAUCAGUGCAGGACCACCAUCACCACCAUCAGUGCAGCACCACAGCAUCACAGCACCACCAUCAGUGCCAUCCCUGCAUCACCGCCAUCAGAGCAGCAUCGCCAUCAGUGCCAUCCCUGCAUCAUCACCAACAGUGCAUCACCACCAUCACUGCAUCACCACCAUCAGUGCAGCACCGCAGCAUCACAGCACCGCCAUCAGUGCCAUCCCUGCAUCGCCAUCAGUGCAGGACCACCAUCACCACCAUCAGCGUCGGCACCGCAGCACCACAGCACCGCCAUCAGUGCAGCCUCUGCAUCACCACCAUCAGUGCAGCACCACCAUCGGUGCCAUCCAUGCAUCACCACCAUCAGCGUCAUCAGUGCAGCACUGCAUCACUGCCAUCAGUGCAGCACCACCAUCAUGGCCAUCAGUGCAGCACCACAGCAUCGCCAUCAGUGCCAUCCCUGCAUCACCACCAUCAGUGCUGCAGUGCGGCAGAGCAGCACCGCCAUCAGUGCCAUCCCUGCAUCACCAUCAGUGCAGCACCACCAUCAGUGCAGCACCACCAUCACCACGAUCAGCAUUGGCACCGCAGCACCGCCAUCAGAGCAGCACCGCCAUCAGUGCCAUCCCUGCAUCACCAUCAGUGCAGGACCACCAUCACCACCAUCAGAGCAGCACCACCAUCAGUGCCAUCCCUGCAUCACCACCAUCAGUGCAGCACCGCCAUCAGUGCAGGACCACCAUCACCACCAUCAGAGCA
This 849-nucleotide long non-coding RNA is filed under the name Phasianus colchicus (ring-necked pheasant). RNAcentral's name for it is "lncRNA (ENSPCLG00000013935.1)". Lineage: Eukaryota; Metazoa; Chordata; Aves; Galliformes; Phasianidae. The record is from RNAcentral.